UACGUAGGGUGCAAGCGUUAAUCGGAAUUACUGGGCGUAAAGCGUGCGCAGGCGGUUUUGUAAGUCUGAUGUGAAAUCCCCGGGCUCAACCUGGGAAUUGCAUUGGAGACUGCAAGGCUAGAAUCUGGCAGAGGGGGGUAGAAUUCCACGUGUAGCAGUGAAAUGCGUAGAGAUGUGGAGGAACACCGAUGGCGAAGGCAGCCCCCUGGGUCAAGAUUGACGCUCAUGCACGAAAGCGUGGGGGGCAAACAGG
RNAcentral lists this ribosomal RNA (253 nucleotides) under uncultured bacterium. RNAcentral's name for it is "partial 16S ribosomal RNA". It matches the Rfam family "Bacterial small subunit ribosomal RNA", at positions 524 to 776 of the family's 1533-position model. The record is from RNAcentral.